CGCUCGCUAGCAGUCUUGCCACAAGAGCACA
This 31-nucleotide non-coding RNA is filed under the name Homo sapiens (human). The record is from RNAcentral. Lineage: Eukaryota; Metazoa; Chordata; Mammalia; Primates; Hominidae.